This 61-nucleotide transfer RNA is filed under the name Placobdella lamothei. RNAcentral describes it as "transfer RNA Glycine". The record is from RNAcentral. Lineage: Eukaryota; Metazoa; Annelida; Clitellata; Rhynchobdellida; Glossiphoniidae.
AUGAUAUUAGUAUAAAUAGUACAUUUACCUUCCAAGUAAAAAGUUUGAUUUAAAUAUCAUA